This 465-nucleotide ribosomal RNA is filed under the name Bacteroidetes bacterium oral taxon 272. RNAcentral's name for it is "bacterial SSU rRNA". It matches the Rfam family "Bacterial small subunit ribosomal RNA", at positions 28 to 483 of the family's 1533-position model. The record is from RNAcentral. Lineage: Bacteria; Pseudomonadati; Bacteroidota.
GAUGAACGCUAGCUACAGGCUUAACACAUGCAAGUCGUGGGGCAUCAUGAUGUAGUAAUACAUUGAUGGCGACCGGCGCACGGGUGAGUAACGCGUAUCCAACCUACCCUCCACUCAAGUAUAGGCUUCCGAAAGGGAGAUUAAUCCUUGAUAUCGUCAUUCUCUCUCCUGUUAGAAUGAUAAAAGGACAUCGUUUCGGUAGAGGAUGGGGAUGCGUUCCAUUAGGUAGUAGGUGGUUUAACAGGCCACCUAGCCGAUGAUGGAUAGGGGUUCUGAGAGGAAUAUCCCCCACACUGGUACUGAGAUACGGACCAGACUCCUACGGGAGGCAGCAGUGAGGAAUAUUGGUCAAUGGGCGCAAGCCUGAACCAGCCAUGUAGCGUGAAGGAUGACGGUUUUUUUGAUUGUAAACUUCUUUUCUGUGCGAUUAAAGUGUGGCAUUUAUGCCAUAUUGCAGUAUCUCAG